This 537-nucleotide ribosomal RNA is filed under the name uncultured bacterium. RNAcentral describes it as "bacterial SSU rRNA". It matches the Rfam family "Bacterial small subunit ribosomal RNA", at positions 772 to 1306 of the family's 1533-position model. The record is from RNAcentral.
ACUCAAUAGAUACCCAGGUAGUCCACGCCCUAAACGAUGUCUACUAGUUGUUGGUGGAGUAAAACCCAUGAGUAAACGCAGCUAAACGCGUGAAGUAGACCGCCUGGGGAGUACGGUCGCAAGAUUAAAGCUCAAAGGAAUUGACGGGGGCCCGCACAAGCGGUGGAUUAUGUGGAUUAAUUCGAUGCAACGCGAAAACCUUACCUGGCCUUGACAUGCCACUAACGAAGCAGAGAUGCAUUAGGUGCCCGUAAGGGAAAGUGGACACAGGUGCUGCAUGGCUGUCGUCAGCUCGUGUCGUGAGAUGUUGGGUUAAGUCCCGCAACGAGCGCAACCCUUGCCAUUAAUUGCCAUCAUUUAGUUGGGCACUUUAAUGGGACUGCCGGUGACAAACCGGAGGAAGGUGGGGAUGACGUCAAGUCCUCAUGGCCCUUAUGGCCAGGGCUUCACACGUAAUACAAUGGUCGGUACAGAGAGUUGCCAACCCGCGAGGGGUAGCUAAUCUCAGAAAGCCGAUCGUAGUCCGGAUUGUUCUCU